Molecule: ribosomal RNA, 757 nt
Filed under: uncultured Pseudomonadales bacterium
Lineage: Bacteria; Pseudomonadati; Pseudomonadota; Gammaproteobacteria; Pseudomonadales
Description: bacterial SSU rRNA
Rfam family: Bacterial small subunit ribosomal RNA
Source: RNAcentral
AGAUUGAACGCUGGCGGCAGGCCUAACACAUGCAAGUCGAGCGGAUGAGAAGAGCUUGCUCUUCGAUUCAGCGGCGGACGGGUGAGUAAUGCCUAGGAAUCUGCCUGGUAGUGGGGGACAACGUUUCGAAAGGAACGCUAAUACCGCAUACGUCCUACGGGAGAAAGCAGGGGACCUUCGGGCCUUGCGCUAUCAGAUGAGCCUAGGUCGGAUUAGCUAGUUGGUGAGGUAAUGGCUCACCAAGGCGACGAUCCGUAACUGGUCUGAGAGGAUGAUCAGUCACACUGGAACUGAGACACGGUCCAGACUCCUACGGGAGGCAGCAGUGGGGAAUAUUGGACAAUGGGCGAAAGCCUGAUCCAGCCAUGCCGCGUGUGUGAAGAAGGUCUUCGGAUUGUAAAGCACUUUAAGUUGGGAGGAAGGGCAUUAACCUAAUACGUUAGUGUUUUGACGUUACCGACAGAAUAAGCACCGGCUAACUCUGUGCCAGCAGCCGCGGUAAUACAGAGGGUGCAGGCGUUAAUCGGAAUUACUGGGCGUAAAGCGCGCGUAGGUGGUUUGUUAAGUUGGAUGUGAAAGCCCCGGGCUCAACCUGGGAACUGCAUCCAAAACUGGCAAGCUAGAGUACGGUAGAGGGUGGUGGAAUUUCCUGUGUAGCGGUGAAAUGCGUAGAUAUAGGAAGGAACACCAGUGGCGAAGGCGACCACCUGGACUGAUACUGACACUGAGGUGCGAAAGCGUGGGGAGCAAACAGGAU